RNAcentral lists this transfer RNA (71 nucleotides) under Mesoflavibacter zeaxanthinifaciens. It matches the Rfam family "tRNA". Rfam says of the family: Transfer RNA (tRNA) molecules are approximately 80 nucleotides in length. Their secondary structure includes four short double-helical elements and three loops (D, anti-codon, and T loops). Further hydrogen bonds mediate the characteristic L-shaped molecular structure. tRNAs have two regions of fundamental functional importance: the anti-codon, which is responsible for specific mRNA codon recognition, and the 3' end, to which the tRNAs corresponding amino acid is attached (by aminoacyl-tRNA synthetases). tRNAs cope with the degeneracy of the genetic code in two manners: having more than one tRNA (with a specific anti-codon) for a particular amino acid; and 'wobble' base-pairing, i.e. permitting non-standard base-pairing at the 3rd anti-codon position. Lineage: Bacteria; Pseudomonadati; Bacteroidota; Flavobacteriia; Flavobacteriales; Flavobacteriaceae. RNAcentral also lists the same sequence under 1 other name. The record is from RNAcentral.
GGUGAUGUGGCAUAGUGGUCGUGCAUAGGAUUGCAAAUUCUAACACAACGGUUCAAAUCCGUUCAUCACCU